Long non-coding RNA from Mercurialis annua (annual mercury), 288 nucleotides. RefSeq lists it as uncharacterized. NCBI's taxonomy places the organism in Eukaryota, Viridiplantae, Streptophyta, Magnoliopsida, Malpighiales, Euphorbiaceae. The record is from RefSeq and is a predicted model, not a curated record. The transcript is spliced from 2 exons.
UUCUUAUGUAGACUCGAUCUACCACGUCAUCCGUAAACUAUAGAUGACGUGGUAGACCGAGUCUACCUAAGAAUUUCUCGUCGUAUCAGAUUAAAUUUCUAGUGAUUUGCUCAAGAUAAAUGUGAACUUUAUAAGGUCUACAAUUUCAGAUGGAGAAUACAAAAUGCAUUUCUGGAGAAAAGUGGGAAACAAUUUUGUUUCGUUGAUGUAUUGAAGAAAAUAUUAAAUAAUAUGUAAAAAUUAAUUCAUUUAAUGUAAAUAAAUUAGUUGAAUGCGUAUCUGUAUCAA